GUAGGUUUCCAAUUUCCUAAAAGAAUUGGUGGUGCGGAUGGGAUAACUCCCGCCCAGUUUCUUGCCUCUGGUCAAAGGGCAAGUGGCGAGCCUGGCA
This 97-nucleotide non-coding RNA is filed under the name unclassified sequences. Its description in RNAcentral is "wcaG RNA". It matches the Rfam family "wcaG RNA". The record is from RNAcentral.